UUUUCUUUCUUUCUCCUGUGUUUGAGAAGAAAACAAGCUGUAACCUGAAAGCGCAAUUCUCCAGGAUGACGAAUAUGCUAGAAAUGCUGCCAGAUGCUCUGUGUGGAGACUGGAUUGCCUCUGACUCUGGACCUCGCAGCAUCUAGCACAAGUUUGUACAAACUGGAUUUAUGUAAUUGGAAUUCAGCUGAUUGAUUGAAUCUGAUGACAGGAGGAGACUCUCACAGCCACAAGGACACAUCAAGUGAGCCCAGAUCCACCUUUACAUCUCUGGAUGGACCAUGUGUGCAAAGGUCCUGAGACCUCUAGGGAAGACAGCCCUCAAGAUGCAGCUUUGAGUUGGAUGUGGGCCACACGGUCAGGCGGGCGCUUGGAGGAAAUGUCAGUUUUGGAGACUGCUCCUUAUGCAAGGAUCCCUG
This 419-nucleotide long non-coding RNA is filed under the name Castor canadensis (American beaver). Its description in RNAcentral is "lncRNA (ENSCCNG00000015728.1)". Lineage: Eukaryota; Metazoa; Chordata; Mammalia; Rodentia; Castoridae. The record is from RNAcentral.